UACGUAGGGGGCAAGCGUUGUCCGGAUUUAUUGGGCGUAAAGAGCGUGUAGGCGGCCACACAGGUCUGCUGUGAAAACUCGAGGCUCAACCCCGAGCUGUCGGUGGAAACCGUGUGGCUAGAGUCCGGAAGAGGAGAGUGGAAUUCCCGGUGUAGCGGUGAAAUGCGCAGAUAUCGGGAAGAACACCCGUGGCGAAGGCGGCUCUCUGGGACGGUACUGACGCUGAGACGCGAAAGCGUGGGGAGCGAACAGG
Molecule: ribosomal RNA, 253 nt
Filed under: uncultured bacterium
Lineage: Bacteria
Description: partial 16S ribosomal RNA
Rfam family: Bacterial small subunit ribosomal RNA
Source: RNAcentral